This 74-nucleotide transfer RNA is filed under the name Podarcis lilfordi (Lilford's wall lizard). RNAcentral describes it as "tRNA.Ile". The stretch from base 8 to 66 matches the Rfam family "tRNA", at positions 8 to 63 of the family's 71-position model. From Rfam's summary of the family: Transfer RNA (tRNA) molecules are approximately 80 nucleotides in length. Their secondary structure includes four short double-helical elements and three loops (D, anti-codon, and T loops). The record is from RNAcentral. Lineage: Eukaryota; Metazoa; Chordata; Lepidosauria; Squamata; Lacertidae.
GCCUGGAUAGCUCAGCUGGUUAGAGCAUGGUGUUGAUAGUGCCAAGGUUGCAGGUUCAAUCCCCGUAUGGGACA